This 485-nucleotide ribosomal RNA is filed under the name uncultured bacterium. RNAcentral's name for it is "bacterial SSU rRNA". It matches the Rfam family "Bacterial small subunit ribosomal RNA", at positions 1 to 507 of the family's 1533-position model. The record is from RNAcentral.
ACGACGUAGUUGACUCCGUGGCUCGAGACGACGCUGGCGGCGUGCCUAACACAUGCAAGUCGAACGGGGUGAAGCUUAAAUGACUUAGUGGCGAACGGGUGAGUAACGCGUGAGAAACCUGCCUCUCAGUGGGGGGACAACAGUUGGAAACGACUGCUAAUACCGCAUAACACUUUAGUACCGCAUGGUACAGAAGUCAAAGCUUUAUGUGCUGAGAGAUGGUCUCGCGUCUGAUUAGCUAGAUGGCGGGGUAACGGCCCACCAUGGCGACGAUCAGUAGCCGGUCUGAGAGGAUGAACGGCCACAUUGGGACUGAGAUACGGCCCAGACUCCUACGGGAGGCAGCAGUGGGGAAUAUUGGGCAAUGGGCGCAAGCCUGACCCAGCAACGCCGCGUGAAGGAAGAAGGCUUUCGGGUUGUAAACUUCUUUUGUCAGGGAAGAGUAGAAGACUGUACCUGGCGAAUAAGCCACGGCUAACUACGUG